AAACCCCCUCGCCGAAAGACUAAGGUUUCCUGAUCAACGCUAAUCGGAUCAGGGUCAGUCGGGUCCUAAGGCUCAGCCGAACGGCGAUGCCGAUGGCAGAAACGGUUAAUAUUCCGUUACUACCUUCAGGAGUGACGUGGAGACGCAGUAGUGACAGUGCCGCCAUCUGACGGAAUAGAUGGUUGAAGGGUGUAGGAGUCGAUCAUGGCAGGCAAAUCCACCAUGAGAUCCGAACCUGAUAGUAUGCCGCGUCCUUCGGGACAAGGCAAUAGUGCGCGUAAGCAUGCUGCCGAGAAAAUCCGCUAAACUUAAUCCUGCAGGUACCCGUACCGCAAACGGACACACGUAGUCGGGAUGAAUAUUCUAAGGCGCUUGAGUGAUUCACGGUUAAGGAACUAGGCAAACUGACCCUGUAACUUCGGGAUAAAGGGUCCCUACCCUUUUAUGGGAGGGCGCAGAGAAUCGGUCCAGGCAACUGUUUAACAAAAACACAGGGCUGUGCCAAAUCGAAAGAUCCAGUAUACAGCCUGACACCUGCCCGGUGCUGGAAGGUUAAGAGGAGAUGUCAUCGAUAAGAGAAGCGUUGAAUUGAAGCCCCAGUAAACGGCGGCCGUAACUAUAACGGUCCUAAGGUAGCGAAAUUCCUUGUCGGGUAAGUUCCGACCUGCACGAAUGGUGUAAUGAUCUGGACGCUGUCUCAACCGUGAGCUCAGUGAAAUUGUAGUAUCGGUGAAGAUGCCGAUUACCCGCGAUGGGACGAAAAGACCCCGUGAACCUUUACUAUAGCUUAUCAUUGAAUCUGGGCACGUGAUGUGUAGGAUAGGUCGGAGGCUUUGAAGCAGGUACGCCAGUAUUUGUGGAGCCGCUGUUGAAAUACGACCCUUUAUUUGUUUGGAUUCUAACCCGUGGAUACGGGGACAUUGAUUGGUGGGUAGUUUGACUGGGGUGGUCGCCUCCAAAAGCGUAACGGAGGCUUCUAAAGGUGCCCUCCGGCCGAUUGGUAACCGGCCUUAGAGUGUAAUGGCAUAAGGGCGCUUGACUGGGAGACUGACAAGUCGAUCAGGUAGGAAACUAGAGCAUAGUGAUCCGGUGUUUCCGUAUGGA
Molecule: ribosomal RNA, 1104 nt
Filed under: human gut metagenome
Description: bacterial LSU rRNA
Rfam family: Bacterial large subunit ribosomal RNA
Source: RNAcentral